GCAGAGUAGGGUUCCGCGCGUUUAGUGCCUGACCAACGGGGAGUUGUGGCAGGACGAAGUGGCCGCCCGGGCGUUUUCGGCGCCCCGGGGCCCGCGGUGCGGUCCCCGCAUCCCACUGC
RNAcentral lists this non-coding RNA (119 nucleotides) under uncultured Gemmiger sp. RNAcentral describes it as "THF riboswitch". It matches the Rfam family "THF (Tetrahydrofolate) riboswitch aptamer". From Rfam's summary of the family: THF riboswitch presents a pseudoknot that joins P1-P2 and the loop of P3 and two THF binding. Lineage: Bacteria; Bacillati; Bacillota; Clostridia; Eubacteriales; Oscillospiraceae. The record is from RNAcentral.